This is an RNA transcript of Chrysemys picta bellii (western painted turtle), 416 nucleotides long. It is a transcript of the gene named myb/SANT-like DNA-binding domain-containing protein 1, with no coding region annotated. The record is from RefSeq and is a predicted model, not a curated record. NCBI's taxonomy places the organism in Eukaryota, Metazoa, Chordata, Testudines, Emydidae.
UGAGACUUGGUGCUGUAGGUUUUUCUUUGCCGUGGAGAUGUACACAAUGCUGGUCUAGCAGCUCACGUUGAGCUGAUUAUCCACCAGGACUCCCCAGUCUUUUUCAGAGUCACUGCUUCUGAGGCUAGAGUCCUCCAUCCUAUCAUUGCACCAUGGUUCUUCUGAGCAAGAAAUGAAAGUAAGAUCAACAGCAUUCAUUGUUCAUAUCAUACUCUAAAUUAUAUGUAUUUUUAUUACAUUAUGAAAACAGCAACACUCUUCCAAGAUCUCACUUCCGUAGCUUGUAUCGCUUUGAAUAAGCCUAUUAUAAGACAAGGCUCCUAUGUUUCAUCAAGGAGCAUCAGAUGUGAAACAGCAUGAAGGUAUUUAAGAAGCCAACUCAAAGAGUUCCUCCUACACAAGCAUUCAGGUCUUGA